Haplochromis burtoni (Burton's mouthbrooder) is the source of this 814-nucleotide long non-coding RNA. RefSeq lists it as uncharacterized. The transcript is spliced from 3 exons. The record is from RefSeq and is a predicted model, not a curated record. NCBI's taxonomy places the organism in Eukaryota, Metazoa, Chordata, Actinopteri, Cichliformes, Cichlidae.
UGGCUUCCAGUUUCCUGGAACUAUGUGACAAAACGAUAGAGUAUCCAGCAUCCAAGCGCUACUACAAUGGAGAGGCCUUCAACGAUAUGACUGAGGAGGACUGGAAAAAGGUUAAGAUGAGUGAUGUGGGGAGGAAACUGCAGGAAGAACAUAAAAAGCUGGUAACUGAAACCCAGUCAGCGUUCGUCAGCCUCAUAUCAUAGAUUCUGGUAUUUGGCCAAAAGAGAGCUUCACAAUUCUUGGCUUCACCUGUGGUAGAAAAAUGACUAAAGCUAUGCAACACUCUCUAAAAUUAAAGCUAUGCAACGCUUUAACAUGAAUGGCGAAGGAGUGCAUCUCUUUCACUGUCUCUUCCUGUCCUCUUCUCAGUCUUUGUUGUGGCACCUCUGCUAUGUGUUACAGGAAGCACUUGGAAUCAUGUUCAAUACAAAAACACCAAACUCGUGGGAUAGCCCUAGCAAGCAGUUGGUAAAAACUAAUUGAAACUGAUAUAUAUCAGUUUCACCUUCUAGCUGCAAAAGCACGUUUCUGCAAAAGCAUGCAGUUUCCUGUCAGCACCUUUUGGCACAGAGUGUACUCAGAGUUAGGCCUUUCUUAUAUAAAGCAAUAUAAUCAGCAUAUAAACAUUUAAGAUGAUGAAUUUAAAGCUCAACAGUAACUGCUAUAAAUAUUAUAACUACACAUGUAGUGCUUUUGCUUAAGUAAAUUAUAGUUGGGAUCAUAAUAAGAAAACAUGUGUUUUUAUUUUCUGUGUACCCUGGGUACAGACCAGUAUAAACAUGGGAUUCUUCCCAAUAAAUGCUGUCUAAUAAUG